Molecule: ribosomal RNA, 253 nt
Filed under: uncultured bacterium
Lineage: Bacteria
Description: partial 16S ribosomal RNA
Rfam family: Bacterial small subunit ribosomal RNA
Source: RNAcentral
UACAGAGGUCCCAAGCGUUGUUCGGAUUCACUGGGCGUAAAGGGUGCGUAGGUGGCGAGAUAAGUCUGAUGUGAAAUCUCCGAGCUUAACUCGGAAAUGGCAUUGGAAACUGCCUUGCUAGAGGGUUGGAGGGGGGACUGGAAUACUUGGUGUAGCAGUGAAAUGCGUAGAUAUCAAGUGGAACACCAGUGGCGAAGGCGAGUCCCUGGACAACUCCUGACACUGAGGCACGAAAGCUAGGGGAGCAAACGGG